GGAGAGAUGGCUGAGCUGGUCUAAGGCGCACGACUGGAAAUCGUGUGUGGGGUAAUACUCACCGUGGGUUCGAAUCCCACUCUCUCCGCCA
RNAcentral lists this transfer RNA (91 nucleotides) under Ruminiclostridium papyrosolvens DSM 2782. RNAcentral's name for it is "tRNA-Ser". It matches the Rfam family "tRNA". From Rfam's summary of the family: Transfer RNA (tRNA) molecules are approximately 80 nucleotides in length. Their secondary structure includes four short double-helical elements and three loops (D, anti-codon, and T loops). The record is from RNAcentral. Lineage: Bacteria; Bacillati; Bacillota; Clostridia; Eubacteriales; Oscillospiraceae.